UGGGACAGAAAGGAAAGUUAACAACUUUA
This 29-nucleotide non-coding RNA is filed under the name Rattus norvegicus (Norway rat). Lineage: Eukaryota; Metazoa; Chordata; Mammalia; Rodentia; Muridae. The record is from RNAcentral.